Elaeis guineensis (African oil palm) is the source of this 4294-nucleotide non-coding RNA. Lineage: Eukaryota; Viridiplantae; Streptophyta; Magnoliopsida; Arecales; Arecaceae. The record is from RefSeq and is a predicted model, not a curated record.
CCAAAAAAAAAAAAGAGAAAUCGCUGGUUGAGCCAGUGAUCUCUGAAAUCGCCGGUGCAGCUGGUGAUCUCUGACCCCGGCCAUCUCAGCAUCAGGGUGGGUGUGAUUUCGAGGUGGACGGUAGUUUUGGAAAUAAGUUGGAGGAGGGGAUAGUAUUGGAAAUACAAAAUAAAAAAAUAUUAAAAAAAACCCUAAAGGAAGUCCUGUAUAGACUGUCGUAUUAUCUGUGGCCCGAGUUCUUUGUCAGAUUCAUGCUGUCGCAUUUGAUCGGAUAUUCUUCUGUUUGUAGUGACGGUGAUUGAGAGCUCGGAUUUCGGUUGGUGCCUUUGGGUAAAUCUGUCUUUUUCUGCACUUCAAUUUUUGACACUUUUCAUUGGCCCUCUUUUACGGUUUCUAAAGUUAAUCGUUAUGCUCAUGUGAUCGACCGAUGGGACUGAGUAGACUGGAAUGAUCAAGAGGAGUCAUGGAACUCUCUCUCUCUGUCUGUGGUUCAUUCCUAUUCCUUUGUUGUUGAAGCGCGAAUCUUUAGCAACUUUUUUCCUUAGCAAAUUUCUUCUCCUGUUUUACCUGUGGCUUUCAAAUAUUGAUAUUCUUUAAUCUUCUUGAAUGCGAUCAUCAAUGCCAUACAGCUGCUGCCUUUGGGUCAAUCUGUCUUUUCGUUCACUCUAAUUUUUGAUUUUUAUUGGUCCUGUUUAUGUUUGGAACGAGAACUUGGCAAAGCUGCGAUCGUUGAGGCUUUUCACUGAGCUUUCUUCUAGUUGUUGAAUUCUUCUUACUUGUGAGGUGUAUCCCGUAUUAUUUGGUAUUAGCUCUUUCUGUGAUCAUUGUCCUUAUCUUUUAUAUUUUAUGUUUUGUCAAAGUUUGCGAAAUUGUUUAACUGCAAGCAUGCUAAUGUCACAAAACAUGACAUUGUUCCAUUGAGUUCGAAGGUUGAAGCAUGAGUUGAAAUGAUGGAACAGUAAUUACUGUUUUGCUGAAAAUAAUGGUUUUAUUCGAAACUAUCCCAAGUCUCUUUUUAUCUGUUGGCAUUGUUAUGCCAUUUCUUGCAAUUCGUGCACUGCUUGGCUUUAUGUCUCAUUGCAGUCUCUUGUAGCUGAAACUUAGAUGUUCCUAUUUCUGUUGGAUCUUGGUGUUGUUUUAUAAAGGUCUAGUUUUUGUAGUCAUCCUUUCUCAUCUUCCUCUGACCUCCUUUUUGGUUUGUAUGUCUAAGCAGAGUGUUUUCAUAAAUAUUAUAUUCUGCAAUCAUCAUAUUUUAUGAGAAUGUAUUUGUGAAGAAUACCUUUCUGUUGGAAAUUCAACCCAAUCCCCUGAAAAAACAGAGUUGUCAAGUGUGCCUAAUUUGUGGUGACACUGUGGGAGUUACAUCCACAGGUGAUAUCUUUGUUGCUUGCCAUGAGUGUACUUUCCUGGUUUGCGGGCCUUGUUAUAAAUAUGAGUGGAAAUAUGGUAAUCAGUGCUGCCCUCAAUGCAAGACAAAGUACAGAGACAAAAAGGAGGUCUCAAGUUUGGAGAGAUGAAGAAGAGGUGGAUGAUGUUUGGUGGCUUGGACAAUGAGUUUAACUACAACAAGGGAAUGUUGCAUAAAACUACGAUAAGAAAAUGGCAAUGCAGUGCAGCAUUGGCAGCUUCAGGGCCAGGGUGACGAUGUUGAUUUAUUUUCUGCUUAUAGACAUGAAGCUCAGCCUGAAUUUUUCGUCCUACCAAUGGCUGCUGGUAGGACACUAUGGCUUUAUUAUUGUAGCUUUACUGAUGUCAUCUAAACUGGGUGUUUUCACCUUGUCUUUAAGAAUUUAGGUUCUUUUGUUUGAUGUUUUUAGGUUUUCACAUUUGAUUUUGAAAUAACAAAUUAAUCACUGUAAGAUUAGCUAAUCAUGUGUACAAUUGGAAAUGUAGGUUUGGCUGAUCAUAUGCACUUUUGGGAAUAGCAAAGGCUAAAUUGGUUUCAGAUUCACCAAUCAUAUGCUUAAUUAAGUGGAGACAAUAGGAAGUCAUUCUGAAUGGUUAAAUCUAAGAUUCAUGAAUCAUAUGCAUGAUCAGUGACAAUGAUUAAGGCUAACUUAGCAUGGAUAAAUUGCUAAUCAUUUCAUGCUUUUAAGUGCUAGUUGCUACCAGUGGUGGUCUUCGUGCAAUUCCUCCCAAAGAACUUUGUUUCAAGUCAACUUAAUCUUUCAUAUGAUUGCAGGUAAAUGAAUUUCUUCUCCUAAUUCACACUUACAUUUUCAUUUUCCGCAUAACAACAGUAUUACCCCACAACCCCCCUCCCCCCAUACACACACACUUUCAUGCUGUCGUGCUGUACUUUAUUGUUCCUGAUUGAUCCAGACAACAAAAAUAAGUAUAACCUUUAUUUUGUUAGUGCUCUUUCCCUCAUGUUUAGUUAUUAAGAUUUUCAGAUCUCUGGAGAACUACCGAAUGCUCCACCAGAUAAUCAAUAUAUUCAAAACCAAUCAGAUCCUCUGGGAUCUGGUGAAAAACAUCCUCGCUCACUUACGUCAAUCCUGGCCUUCCAGGUAUCUGAAUAUGUUAUGAAUUGGUCAUUGAACAGUGUAUGCAUUAAAACAGUUUGGCUUAUUAAAAAUAGUUUGUCUUAAUUUUGGUAUGUUAUGAGACAUGUUCCAGUAAGAAACGUCGAUCCUUUAAAGGAUUUGAACUCAUACGGGCUUAGCAAUGUUGACCGGAAAGAAAGAGUUGGAUGGAAACCCAAACAGGAUAAAAACAUGUUGUAGAUGACAAGCAGAUACACCGAAGGAAAAGGAGAUAUCAAAGGAACUAGUUCAAAUGGUGAAAACCUGCAAAUGUUUGCACUCAAAUGUCUGAGCAGCAGCUUUUGUGCAUAUUGUUCCUGUUUGUUCCUUGUUUCAUUUAGAUGAGGACCUGAGCAUUUGGCCAAUCUAUUAUCUGAGUUGAACAUUUUCCUUUGUGCUGAACAACAGUGUCCUCAGAAUACCAGAUAUUUGCCAAACCACCAAAAUGAAGAAGAUACUGACAUGGUUCAAGGUAGGUGUAGUGAAACAGUAGAAAUAGUAGAACAGCAGCCACUUCAGCAAUCUCUGGAUCACUCUUCUGUUUUCUUUGGACAGAGCUGAUGAUGCUUAUCAACCUUUGAACUGUGCAGUGCCUAUUCCUUCCAAGUUCUGACCGACUCAACCUUUACCUAGUAGUAAUCAUAUUCCAACUUAUUAUCUUAGGUUUCUUCUUCCAGUAUCAUAUUACUCAUCAAGAUGCCCACCUGCUGUCAUCUGUCAUCUGCGAGAUCUGAUUUGCUUCAUCUUGGCUUCUUGAUCAUUUUCCUAAAUGGUAUCCAAUCAACUGUGAAAAUACCUUGACAGGCAUGCACUAAGAUUAAUCAUUGUAGGUUCCUUUUCCUCAAAGUAGGACAUGCCAUGUCUUUUUUGAUCUGGACAUUAUAUUGUAUCAAAAAAAUCAGUCAUCUUACUGACAGAUAUGACAGGGAAGGAGAACCUUCUCAUUUAGUCCUGACUGAUAUUUUUGUCACUAUGAUUGAUACCCUCAAAGAGCCUCCUCUUAUGCCAACACUGUAUUGUCCAUUCUUGCUGUGGGGUAACCUGUCGACAAAGUUUCAUCUGUGUAUCUGAUGAUGGUUCAGCUAUGUGGACAUUUGAAGCCCUAUCAGAGUGCAGAAUUUGCUAGGAAGUGGCUUUCUUUCUGCAAGAAACAAAAUAUAGAACCCAGGGUGCCUGUGUUUUACCUUGCUUACAAAAUGGAUUGCUUGAAGGACAAAAUUCAACCUUCUUUUGUCAAAGAAUGCUAGGCAAUUAAGGUAUGUGGAAAGCAAUUUGCUCAAACUAAUGAAGUCCAUAACUUUGAAUCUCGUAGGAUAUCAGGCAAUCAAGUCCUCUGCUCCAGAGAUAGUAUGAAGAGUUGGAAGUGCAGAUAAAUGCUCUUGUUGCCAAAGUAUGAAAAAUUCCAAAAGGAGGACGGGCAAUGCAAGAUGGCGCUCCUUGGCCUGGAAAUAAUCCAAGAGAUCAUCCUGACAUAAUUCAGGUGUCAGGCCUGGAAAUUCCCAUACACCUUUUGUCGUCAUUUCAUGUUUCAUCCAUUCUUGUUAUCUCACCCUUUCAUUGUCAAAACAAAAGCUGUUUUUAUGGCACAGUGGAUGGCUUGAUAAAGAUGCUACCUCGAUGUUUUGACUUUUCCCAUUGAGAAGUGACCAGGCUUUGGGCAUUAGAAAAAGCUGGUGCAAUUAAUGCUCUGAUUUGUAUCUUGUACAUAGUUACAGAAAUUCCGGCAUACUUUUAUGGCAUUCAGCAGCAUCUUGUGCUGUUCAGAUUUC